Molecule: long non-coding RNA, 295 nt
Filed under: Carica papaya (papaya)
Lineage: Eukaryota; Viridiplantae; Streptophyta; Magnoliopsida; Brassicales; Caricaceae
Description: long non-coding RNA (CPAP_LNC008170)
Source: RNAcentral
CUCCCUCGGAUUUUUCCUUUAUCGAGCCGGAUAGCCUCCCUUUUUUGCUUCUCAGUUUGACGCUCCUGAUUUCUCCUCACUCUCGGCCUCGAUGUGUUUUGGUCGCAUCAAAUCGACGCUUCUCCUUUCUUCACACUGCUGAUCUUACUGAAUCAGAGACACGACGCAAGCAAUGUUCCCGCGCCUCUCACCGUCUCCCCGCGUCUCUCCUGGUUUCUUCUCUAUGGUUUAGACUCUUGAUAUGUGGCUUCCGCCACGUCGGCUUGCGUUCGUUCCCUCGACGCUUUCUUCUUUU